RNAcentral lists this ribosomal RNA (171 nucleotides) under uncultured Gammaproteobacteria bacterium. Its description in RNAcentral is "partial 16S ribosomal RNA". It matches the Rfam family "Bacterial small subunit ribosomal RNA", at positions 368 to 528 of the family's 1533-position model. Lineage: Bacteria; Pseudomonadati; Pseudomonadota; Gammaproteobacteria. The record is from RNAcentral.
GGAAUGGGCGGAAGCCUGGAUCCAGCCAUGCCGCGUGGUGGUGAAGAAGGCCCUCGGGUUGUAAAGCACUUUCAGCGAGGAAGAACGCCUAGUGGUUAAUACCCAUUAGGAAAGACAUCACUCGCAGAAGAAGCACCGGCUAACUCCGUGCCAGCAGCCGCGGUAAUACGA